RNAcentral lists this ribosomal RNA (253 nucleotides) under uncultured bacterium. RNAcentral's name for it is "partial 16S ribosomal RNA". It matches the Rfam family "Bacterial small subunit ribosomal RNA", at positions 524 to 776 of the family's 1533-position model. The record is from RNAcentral.
UACGUAGGUGGCAAGCGUUGUCCGGAUUUACUGGGCGUAAAGAGCGCGCAGGCGGUCAGAUAAGUCGAAUGUGAAAGCCCCCGGCUCAACUGGGGAGGGUCAUUCGAUACUGUUCGACUCGAAGGCAGGAGAGGGAAGUGGAAUUCCCGGUGUAGUGGUGAAAUGCGUAGAUAUCGGGAGGAACACCAGUGGCGAAGGCGACUUCCUGGCCUGUUCUUGACGCUGAGGCGCGAAAGCGUGGGGAGCGAACAGG